GAGGCGAACCGGGGGAACUGAAACAUCUAAGUACCCCGAGGAAAAGAAAUCAACCGAGAUUCCGAAAGUAGCGGCGAGCGAAAUUGGACUAGCCCUUAAGCUUUACACGCGUUAGACGAACGGUCUGGAAAGUCCGACGAUACAGGGUGAUAGUCCCGUAGUUGACGACGUGUGUUCAGUGAAAUCGAGUAGGGCGGGACACGUGAUAUCCUGUCUGAAUAU
This 222-nucleotide ribosomal RNA is filed under the name Vibrio parahaemolyticus. Its description in RNAcentral is "partial 23S ribosomal RNA". It matches the Rfam family "Bacterial large subunit ribosomal RNA", at positions 176 to 445 of the family's 2925-position model. The record is from RNAcentral. Lineage: Bacteria; Pseudomonadati; Pseudomonadota; Gammaproteobacteria; Vibrionales; Vibrionaceae.